ACGAGUUGCUUUGGAAAAAAGGCAAGUGGAACGUGGUAAACCCCUCAAGCGAGCAACCCAAACUUAUGGUAGGGGCACUUGUCACGCGGAAUUUGAACGCACGACGAGGCUAUUUUUAGGCAUGCUUAAAAAUAGCAGACAGAUGAUUAUCGAAGGUUGGCUGAACGGUCAACUGGAACAAAACAUGGCUUAUAGAA
Molecule: RNase P RNA, 197 nt
Filed under: Lactococcus sp.
Lineage: Bacteria; Bacillati; Bacillota; Bacilli; Lactobacillales; Streptococcaceae
Description: partial RNase P RNA component class B
Rfam family: Bacterial RNase P class B
About the family: Ribonuclease P (RNase P) is a ubiquitous endoribonuclease, found in archaea, bacteria and eukarya as well as chloroplasts and mitochondria.
Source: RNAcentral